GGACAUCAAGGGGAUUUGGCUGUGGCUUUUGUCACUCAGUUGAUCACUGAACCUGAUUUGGCUGGCUAAGCUGGUGCCCCCUUCCUCUUUCACUUCUUCAUGGGUGUCCUUCCAGAAGCUGCAGCCUCCAUUGAAAAUGGCAUCUUUCCGUAAUGGAGAACUAUUCUUCCAUCGAGAGCAUAGGAGAAGUUGGACUCCCCUGCUAGAAGUACAAGCAAGUUCUCAUAGGCCACCAUCUCCUAAUAGCAUCACAGGUUUGUGACUAAACUUUGAUAUGUGGAACUUUGGAUACAAACUGUAGUGUUGC
RNAcentral lists this small nuclear RNA (307 nucleotides) under Microtus ochrogaster (prairie vole). Its description in RNAcentral is "7SK RNA (ENSMOCG00000007986.1)". It matches the Rfam family "7SK RNA". Rfam says of the family: 7SK was discovered as an abundant small nuclear RNA in the mid-70s but a possible function has only recently been suggested. Lineage: Eukaryota; Metazoa; Chordata; Mammalia; Rodentia; Cricetidae. The record is from RNAcentral.